AACAGGAUUAGAUACCCUGGUAGUCCACGCCCUAAACGAUGUCUACUAGUUGUCGGGUCUUAAUUGACUUGGUAACGCAGCUAACGCGUGAAGUAGACCGCCUGGGGAGUACGGUCGCAAGAUUAAAACUCAAAGGAAUUGACGGGGACCCGCACAAGCGGUGGAUGAUGUGGAUUAAUUCGAUGCAACGCGAAAAACCUUACCUACCCUUGACAUGUCAGGAAUCCUUGAGAGAUCGAGGAGUGCCCGAAAGGGAGCCUGAACACAGGUGCUGCAUGGCUGUCGUCAGCUCGUGUCGUGAGAUGCUGGGUUAAGUCCCGCAACGAGCGCAACCCUUGUCAUUAGUUGCUACGAAAGGGCACUCUAAUGAGACUGCCGGUGACAAACCAGAGGAAGGUGGGGAUGACGUCAAGUCCUCAUGGCCCUUAUGGGUAGGGCUUCACACGUCAUACAAUGGUACAUACAGAGGGCCGCCAACCCGCGAGGGGGAGCUAAUCCCAGAAAGUGUAUCGUAGUCCGGAUCGCAGUCUGCAACUCGACUGCGUGAAGUUGGAAUCGCUAGUAAUCGCGGAUCAGCAUGCCGCGGUGAAUACGUUCCCGGGUCUUGUACACACCGCCCGUCACACCAUGGGAGCGGGUUUUACCAGAAGUAGGUAGCUUAACCGCAAGGAGGGCGCUUACCACGGUAGGAUUCGUGACUGGGGUGAAGUCGUAACAAGGUAACC
Molecule: ribosomal RNA, 725 nt
Filed under: uncultured bacterium
Lineage: Bacteria
Description: bacterial SSU rRNA
Rfam family: Bacterial small subunit ribosomal RNA
Source: RNAcentral